GCGGUGGAAAAGAAACCAAAAGGGAUUCCCCUAGUAACGGCGAGCGAAAAGGGAAUAGCUCAGCGUCAAGUCCUUCCGUUGUAUAGCGUGAAGGAGAUGCGACGUGAAUGCUGCAGUGCAUCGUAUUAGUCAAUUGACGCAAGUCCCUCUGACAAGGGCUUUUUCCAUAGCGGGUGCUAGACCCAUAGCUGUCAAGAGACUUAUACGCAAACUGUAGCGUACUAGAGUCAGGUUGCUUGAGAGUGCAGCCUAAAUUAGGUGGUAAACUCCACCUAAGGCUAAAUAUUGCCGUGUAACCGAUAGCAAACAAGUACCGUGAGGGAAAGUUGCAAAGAACUUUGAAGAGAGAGUUCAAAAGGACGUGAAACCGUUUGUAGGUAAACAUGUGGAACCACGAAGUGUGCUGAAGAUGAGGAUUCAACUGUCCCGAUUGAGACAGUUGCCGGUGUGCUAUGUGACUCUCGAAAGAGGGUAGGCAUCGGUAACACUUAAUGUCUGUAUUCGGGCGGUGCAUUUCUUCUGUCUUCUGCUAAAGCCAUGAGCAGUCGUAGGUUUGGGACGACCGUAUGCGAAAGUCGGCAUAAGGUAUCUAAUCUAUGAUUUUAUAUCAUUCAUUAGUGUUAUAGAUGCUGACUUGGGGUCGUCGCCUAUCGGAACGACUGUUCUAAAGUUCUCCGCUUAUGCGGGGUUUGCAAGUAUUGCACAUCGGUAGUAUUGCGUUCGAGAUGUAUGCAUGUGCGUGACAUUUCUAAUGUUGAAUUAGAAAGCUGCGUAUGUAUGUGCAUCUAUGCUGAAUGUAGUAUCUAUCGGUGUGUGGCACAAUCGAUGGCUAGUAGGUCGGUAUCCAUAUGACCC
Molecule: ribosomal RNA, 855 nt
Filed under: Mesoplophora pulchra
Lineage: Eukaryota; Metazoa; Arthropoda; Arachnida; Sarcoptiformes; Mesoplophoridae
Description: partial large subunit ribosomal RNA
Rfam family: Eukaryotic large subunit ribosomal RNA
Source: RNAcentral